GAUGAACGCUAGCGGCAGGCUUAAUACAUGCAAGUCGAGGGGCAGCACAGUGUAGCAAUACAUGGGUGGCGACCGGCAAACGGGUGCGUAACACGUACACAACUUACCCUUUACUGGGGGAUAGCCCAGGGAAACUUGGAUUAAUACCCCAUAUUGCAGAUGACCGGCAUCGGUUGUUUGCCAAAAGUUCCGACGGUAAAGGAUGGGUGUGCGGUUGAUUAGGUAGUUGGCGGGGUAACGGCCCACAAGCCUACGAUCAAUAGCUGAUGUGAGAGCAUGAUCAGCCACACGGGCACUGAGACACGGGCCCGACUCCUACGGGAGGCAGCAGUAA
RNAcentral lists this ribosomal RNA (334 nucleotides) under uncultured bacterium. Its description in RNAcentral is "bacterial SSU rRNA". It matches the Rfam family "Bacterial small subunit ribosomal RNA", at positions 28 to 357 of the family's 1533-position model. The record is from RNAcentral.